UGGGGAAUUUUGGACAAUGGGGGAAACCCUGAUCCAGCCAUCCCGCGUGUGCGAUGAAGGCCUUCGGGUUGUAAAGCACUUUUGGCAGGAAAGAAACGUCAUGGGUUAAUACCCCGUGAAACUGACGGUACCUGCAGAAUAAGCACCGGCUAACUACGUGCCAGCAGCCGCGGUAAUACGUAGGGUGCAAGCGUUAAUCGGAAUUACUGGGCGUAAAGCGUGCGCAGGCGGUUCGGAAAGAAAGAUGUGAAAUCCCAGAGCUCAACUUUGGAACUGAAUUUUUAACUACCGGGCUAGAGUGUGUCAGAGGGAGGUGGAAUUCCGCGUGUAGCAGUGAAAUGCGUAGGUAUGCAGAGGAACACCGAUGGCGAAGGCAGCCUCCUGGGAUAACACUGACGCUCAUGCACGAAAGCGUGGGGAGCAAACAGG
Molecule: ribosomal RNA, 429 nt
Filed under: Acidobacteriota bacterium
Lineage: Bacteria; Pseudomonadati; Acidobacteriota
Description: Acidobacteria bacterium partial 16S ribosomal RNA
Rfam family: Bacterial small subunit ribosomal RNA
Source: RNAcentral